UCCUGGUAACUAUGAUGAGUUUAUUAGUAAAGGGAACCAUAUCAUUUGAGUCACUGAUGAAUUUUCCUAUUGAAUAUAAUUCUGAUUAAAAUGUUCCCUUUUAAUCAAACUCAAAAUCUGCUGCUGGGAUAGUUUUCUUCCGAUUAGGUUUUUCUCCUCCGUUUCGACGGCAUAAUUACCUUCAGUUUUUUUUAAAUAGGAAAGGCAAUGGUAUUCAAAUAAACUACCAACAACACAUAUACAGAUACAGAUACUUUAUUUGCCAAUCACGGCGCCUUAGAAUU
RNAcentral lists this long non-coding RNA (284 nucleotides) under Mytilus galloprovincialis (Mediterranean mussel). The record is from RNAcentral. Lineage: Eukaryota; Metazoa; Mollusca; Bivalvia; Mytilida; Mytilidae.